Molecule: ribosomal RNA, 2114 nt
Filed under: human gut metagenome
Description: bacterial LSU rRNA
Rfam family: Bacterial large subunit ribosomal RNA
Source: RNAcentral
GGGUGACAGCCCCGUACACAAAAAUGCACAUGCUGUGAGCUCGAUGAGUAGGGCGGGACACGUGGUAUCCUGUCUGAAUAUGGGGGGACCAUCCUCCAAGGCUAAAUACUCCUGACUGACCGAUAGUGAACCAGUACCGUGAGGGAAAGGCGAAAAGAACCCCGGCGAGGGGAGUGAAAAAGAACCUGAAACCGUGUACGUACAAGCAGUGGGAGCACGCUUAGGCGUGUGACUGCGUACCUUUUGUAUAAUGGGUCAGCGACUUAUAUUCUGUAGCAAGGUUAACCGAAUAGGGGAGCCGAAGGGAAACCGAGUCUUAACUGGGCGUUAAGUUGCAGGGUAUAGACCCGAAACCCGGUGAUCUAGCCAUGGGCAGGUUGAAGGUUGGGUAACACUAACUGGAGGACCGAACCGACUAAUGUUGAAAAAUUAGCGGAUGACUUGUGGCUGGGGGUGAAAGGCCAAUCAAACCGGGAGAUAGCUGGUUCUCCCCGAAAGCUAUUUAGGUAGCGCCUCGUGAAUUCAUCUCCGGGGGUAGAGCACUGUUUCGGCAAGGGGGUCAUCCCGACUUACCAACCCGAUGCAAACUGCGAAUACCGGAGAAUGUUAUCACGGGAGACACACGGCGGGUGCUAACGUCCGUCGUGAAGAGGGAAACAACCCAGACCGCCAGCUAAGGUCCCAAAGUCAUGGUUAAGUGGGAAACGAUGUGGGAAGGCCCAGACAGCCAGGAUGUUGGCUUAGAAGCAGCCAUCAUUUAAAGAAAGCGUAAUAGCUCACUGGUCGAGUCGGCCUGCGCGGAAGAUGUAACGGGGCUAAACCAUGCACCGAAGCUGCGGCAGCGACACUAUGUGUUGUUGGGUAGGGGAGCGUUCUGUAAGCCUGUGAAGGUGUACUGUGAGGUAUGCUGGAGGUAUCAGAAGUGCGAAUGCUGACAUAAGUAACGAUAAAGCGGGUGAAAAGCCCGCUCGCCGGAAGACCAAGGGUUCCUGUCCAACGUUAAUCGGGGCAGGGUGAGUCGACCCCUAAGGCGAGGCCGAAAGGCGUAGUCGAUGGGAAACAGGUUAAUAUUCCUGUACUUGGUGUUACUGCGAAGGGGGGACGGAGAAGGCUAUGUUGGCCGGGCGACGGUUGUCCCGGUUUAAGCGUGUAGGCUGGUUUUCCAGGCAAAUCCGGAAAAUCAAGGCUGAGGCGUGAUGACGAGGCACUACGGUGCUGAAGCAACAAAUGCCCUGCUUCCAGGAAAAGCCUCUAAGCAUCAGGUAACAUCAAAUCGUACCCCAAACCGACACAGGUGGUCAGGUAGAGAAUACCAAGGCGCUUGAGAGAACUCGGGUGAAGGAACUAGGCAAAAUGGUGCCGUAACUUCGGGAGAAGGCACGCUGAUAUGUAGGUGAAGUCCCUCGCGGAUGGAGCUGAAAUCAGUCGAAGAUACCAGCUGGCUGCAACUGUUUAUUAAAAACACAGCACUGUGCAAACACGAAAGUGGACGUAUACGGUGUGACGCCUGCCCGGUGCCGGAAGGUUAAUUGAUGGGGUCAGCGCAAGCGAAGCUCUUGAUCGAAGCCCCGGUAAACGGCGGCCGUAACUAUAACGGUCCUAAGGUAGCGAAAUUCCUUGUCGGGUAAGUUCCGACCUGCACGAAUGGCGUAAUGAUGGCCAGGCUGUCUCCACCCGAGACUCAGUGAAAUUGAACUCGCUGUGAAGAUGCAGUGUACCCGCGGCAAGACGGAAAGACCCCGUGAACCUUUACUAUAGCUUGACACUGAACAUUGAGCCUUGAUGUGUAGGAUAGGUGGGAGGCUUUGAAGUGUGGACGCCAGUCUGCAUGGAGCCGACCUUGAAAUACCACCCUUUAAUGUUUGAUGUUCUAACGUUGACCCGUAAUCCGGGUUGCGGACAGUGUCUGGUGGGUAGUUUGACUGGGGCGGUCUCCUCCUAAAGAGUAACGGAGGAGCACGAAGGUUGGCUAAUCCUGGUCGGACAUCAGGAGGUUAGUGCAAUGGCAUAAGCCAGCUUGACUGCGAGCGUGACGGCGCGAGCAGGUGCGAAAGCAGGUCAUAGUGAUCCGGUGGUUCUGAAUGGAAGGGCCAUCGCUCAACGGAUAAAAGGUA